GGGUGACUAGUCUAGUGGUCAGGACGCUUCGUUGUGGUCAGCUGCGAAUCCGAAGAAACCCAGGUUCGAUUCCUGGGUCGCCCA
Non-coding RNA from Canariomyces notabilis, 84 nucleotides. The record is from the annotation of a RefSeq genome assembly. NCBI's taxonomy places the organism in Eukaryota, Fungi, Ascomycota, Sordariomycetes, Sordariales, Chaetomiaceae.